Molecule: ribosomal RNA, 159 nt
Filed under: uncultured bacterium
Lineage: Bacteria
Description: partial 16S ribosomal RNA
Rfam family: Bacterial small subunit ribosomal RNA
Source: RNAcentral
UCGCAGAUCAGCAUGCUGCGGUGAAUACGUUCCCGGGCCUUGUACACACCGCCCGUCACACCAUGGGAGUCGGUAACACCCGAAGUCGGUAGUCUAACCGAAAGGAGGACGCCGCCGAAGGUGGGAUUGAUGACUGGGGUGAAGUCGUAACAAGGUACC